RNAcentral lists this ribosomal RNA (497 nucleotides) under uncultured bacterium. RNAcentral's name for it is "partial 16S ribosomal RNA". It matches the Rfam family "Bacterial small subunit ribosomal RNA", at positions 28 to 507 of the family's 1533-position model. The record is from RNAcentral.
GAUGAACGCUGGCGGCGUGCCUAAUACAUGCAAGUCGAGCGAACAGACGAGGAGCUUGCUCCUCUGACGUUAGCGGCGGACGGGGGAGUAACACGUGGAUAACCUACCUAUAAGACUGGGAUAACUUCGGGAAACCGGAGCUAAUACCGGAUAAUAUAUUGAACCGCAUGGUUCAAUAGUGAAAGACGGUUUUGCUGUCACUUAUAGCUGGAUCCGCGCCGCAUUAGCUAGUUGGUAAGGUAACGGCUUACCAAGGCGACGAUGCGUAGCCGACCUGAGAGGGUGAUCGGCCACACUGGAACUGAGACACAGUCCAGACUCCUACGGGAGGCAGCAGUAGGAAAUCUGCCGCAAUGGGCGGAAGCCUGACGGAGCAACGCCGCGUGAGUGAUGAAGAUCUUCGGAUCGGAAAACUCUGUUAUUAGGGAAGAACAAAUUUGUAAUUAACUAUGCACGUCUUGACGGUACCUAAUCAGAAAGCCACGGCUAAGUACGUG